This 65-nucleotide transfer RNA is filed under the name Micromelalopha sieversi. Its description in RNAcentral is "tRNA-Cys". Lineage: Eukaryota; Metazoa; Arthropoda; Insecta; Lepidoptera; Notodontidae. The record is from RNAcentral.
AGUCUUAUAUUCAAAAAUGAUAUAAAAUUGCAAAUUUUAAGGAAUAUUCUUUAAUAUUAAGGCUU